This 215-nucleotide small RNA is filed under the name Arabidopsis thaliana (thale cress). RNAcentral's name for it is "ATSL070350". The record is from RNAcentral. Lineage: Eukaryota; Viridiplantae; Streptophyta; Magnoliopsida; Brassicales; Brassicaceae.
UAUUUUUUAUUGAAUACCAGUAAAUUCUGGGCCGAAGCCCGUAAUCCCCUCAGGUUCGAAACCACAGCAUGUAAUAUUAGUUUCGUCCCAAGCGUCAUUCGAACUGGCGACCUCUAAGAUUCGCCUAAGGUCUUUACUAAUUGAGCUACAAUGGAUAAUAAAAGAAUCUAACCUUCCAACAAAAAGAAAUAGUAUUACUAAAGUCAAUAAGAACA